CGACCACGACACAGCCGCUGCCGC
Molecule: non-coding RNA, 24 nt
Filed under: Arabidopsis thaliana (thale cress)
Lineage: Eukaryota; Viridiplantae; Streptophyta; Magnoliopsida; Brassicales; Brassicaceae
Source: RNAcentral